This 369-nucleotide ribosomal RNA is filed under the name uncultured Lautropia sp. RNAcentral's name for it is "bacterial SSU rRNA". It matches the Rfam family "Bacterial small subunit ribosomal RNA", at positions 527 to 896 of the family's 1533-position model. The record is from RNAcentral. Lineage: Bacteria; Pseudomonadati; Pseudomonadota; Betaproteobacteria; Burkholderiales; Burkholderiaceae.
GUAGGGUGCAAGCGUUAAUCGGAAUUACUGGGCGUAAAGAGUGCGCAGGCGGUUUUGCAAGACCGAUGUGAAAUCCCCGGGCUUAACCUGGGAACUGCAUUGGUGACUGCAAGGCUAGAGUGUGUCAGAGGGAGGUGGAAUUCCGCAUGUAGCAGUGAAAUGCGUAGAUAUGCGGAGGAACACCGAUGGCGAAGGCAGCCUCCUGGGAUAACACUGACGCUCAUGCACGAAAGCGUGGGGAGCAAACAGGAUUAGAUACCCUGGUAGUCCACGCCCUAAACGAUGUCUACUAGUUGUCGGGGAUUAAUUUCCUUGGUAACGCAGCUAACGCGUGAAGUAGACCGCCUGGGGAGUACGGUCGCAAGAUUA